CCUACGGGUGGCAGCAGUAGGGAAUUUUCGUCAAUGGGCGCAAGCCUGAACGAGCAAUGCCGCGUGAACGAGGAAGGUCUUCGGAUCGUAAAGUUCUGUUGAAGGGGAAGAAGAGCGGAGAGAGGAAAUGCUUUCAGACUGAUAUUACCCUGCGAGAAAGUGAUGGCUAACUACGUGCCAGCAGCCGCGGUAAUACAUAGGUGGCAAGCGUUAUCCGGAAUGAUUGGGCGUAAAGCGUGCGUAGGCGGUUUGCUAAGUCUGGAGUGAAAGGUACGGGCUCAACCGGUACAGGCUCUGGAUACUGGCGAGCUAGAGAUAAAGAGAGGGCGGUGGAACUCCAUGUGUAGCGGUAAAAUGCGUAGAUAUAUGGAAGAACACCAGUGGCGAAGGCGGCCGCCUGGCUUUAUACUGACGCUGAGGCACGAAAGCGUGGGGAGCAAAUAGGAUUAGAUACCCUUGUAGUC
This 464-nucleotide ribosomal RNA is filed under the name uncultured bacterium. RNAcentral describes it as "partial 16S ribosomal RNA". It matches the Rfam family "Bacterial small subunit ribosomal RNA", at positions 338 to 795 of the family's 1533-position model. The record is from RNAcentral.